GCAUGUAUCCAUGCCUGCAUGUGUGCGUGUUUGUGUGAGUUUGUACACACGCGCAUGACUAAUAUUGCUGUGGUGUUCAUGUAUUACAGAGCAAGAAUAUGCCUGUACGGUUCAGUGAAGAAGAGAGGAUGAGAGAACGGAAGAGUCUGUUGAGAGAUUGUUUUCUUCUAUGGAAUGUGGUGAAUCGUGUAGGUGCUGUUUUUGGCUUUGCAGAGUAAAUCCCAGUGAGAAAAGCUUCUGAACUGGAUUCAACUGUUGCAUAGAAAGUGGACCAUUGUUGAAUUAUUGGAACUAACUAUCAAAGUAUUUGAACGAUUUCAUGUGAUAUUUGAACCCAGGUCUACAAUACAGUAUGGCAAUGCCUGUGCCCCCUCACCAGGUCCAGGGUAGUCCUCUCCAGGACGUCCACCAGUUUCUCCAGCUUGGUGUUGGCCGUGAAGAUGAAGUCAUCGUCCACCCACAGCACAUACUUGGUAGUCACCUGGGAAACAGCUAGGUUCCGUCCUGCAAACCAGCCCUAGUUGUUGUGACACAGAGAACAGGAUGUGGGAAAGAGGAAGCAGAAGCGAAAGGACAACUAAGAAAAUCACAGACAGUACUUUUUCACUUAAGGUCAUCUGUCAAGAAUCAUUUAAGCAAACAAUGAUAGUGUUAGACACAUUUUUGACCUGACAGGUACACGUACACUGUAUCCCAUCCCUUACUUGCAAAUAGAGGCAGUAGUGUUUAAAAAAAAACCUUUCCAAAUGGCAUGAUGUAAUGUUCGAUGUAGGGGCCAGAGACCAUCUUUGGGUUUUCACUGUCAUCAGCUAUUACUAUGGUGACAGUGGAAUAGUAUUUUCGCACACUGUCGAUGAGAUCUUGGAGCUUGUCAUAGCGCAGGAAGGUUUUGGUUGCUAUGGUAACAAGGGCACUGAUGUUGUAUUCUAGAAGGGGAACAGAGAGAGACAAAAAGUUAGGGUGUUGUGCGGUUGUGACAGAUACAGUCAGCCGUUGUAUUUGUCGACAUACCCCCUUUGGGUCCUGUGUUGUAGAGUUUUGGAGUUACACCAUGACGGACCUUGAUAGUAAACAUGGCUUGGUGACCCUCUGUCUCAAACUGCACUGAAAGACACAGCAAGAGUAUUUCCAACCUCAUUACCACUAAUAUUUGACAGAUGUUAUUUGGCAUAGGACUUUGAUAAUGGACACAACACAGAAAUAAGUAGUACACAGCAGAAGGACAGGUGUGUCUGGCCUCACCUGUGUCUGCUGUACUAGGGUGGAACAGUGUGUUGGUAUAGGUGACAAACUGUAGCUGCCGGUUCAAAUUGGACAGCAGGCUGCUGGUCAGGGUCAUGUGCAUCUCCCCGUCACCUUUGACCUUUACCCCCUCAACCUCUGCUGCCACGUUUAACGUUCCCAGGGUGGAGGUGAAGUUGACCUGAGAAAGAAAAAAAUUAAGAGGGAGACAGAGAACAAAGUAGACAAGGACCAGACAAAUGGAAUAGUAUUGGAAAUAAUAACUCAAACCAAAUGUUAUUGGUCUACUUACUGUGUACAGCUCUCUGGGAUGGUCUUGUACUGCAAGUCCUGAAAACAUAUGCAUCAAUUUACUGGCAUAUUUGAUGAAGGUGUUGGAUGUUUAUCCAAUCCAAAUUCACUACAUCAAUUGUCAGCUGGAGUAAACACUAUUUCUCUGUUGUGCAACAAAACACUAUUCUCUGCUCUAAAACAGCCAUACAGUGCAGUAGGUUAUCAUGGUAGUAAUAGUGGUAAGGGUAUAGAAAGUAGAUGUCAGUGGUUGCAAUAAUAGUACUAACACCGUAGUAAUACUAGUGUUAUAUUGUUAGAACACCUAUUGUCUGUCACGUUAAAAGACAAUGAGUUUUACCUCCAAAUACCCUGAUGAAGAUUGAUUGAGACCAGAAUAUUGGUGAAUAAGAUCAGCAUCAAGAUUACCGGUGUGCUGGGUUUUUCCUUCUUUUUAACAUUGUUGUAAUAGGACAGUCUCCCUCAAUUGGUAACUUGAUAAAAUUACACUUGUAUUUGUAUGCUUGCCCUAUUUUGCCAGGUUUCCUGAUGAAGGAAGCUGACUGAAAGCUCAGCCACAAUAAAAGAAAUGUGCAUCUGA
This is a long non-coding RNA of Oncorhynchus kisutch (coho salmon), 2113 nucleotides long. RefSeq lists it as uncharacterized. Lineage: Eukaryota; Metazoa; Chordata; Actinopteri; Salmoniformes; Salmonidae. The transcript is spliced from 2 exons. The record is from RefSeq and is a predicted model, not a curated record.